RNAcentral lists this ribosomal RNA (449 nucleotides) under uncultured bacterium. RNAcentral's name for it is "bacterial SSU rRNA". It matches the Rfam family "Bacterial small subunit ribosomal RNA", at positions 355 to 796 of the family's 1533-position model. The record is from RNAcentral.
UGGGGAAUAUUGGACAAUGGGGGCAACCCUGAUCCAGCAAUGCCGCGUGUGUGAAGAAGGCCUGCGGGUUGUAAAGCACUUUGGUUGGGGAGGAAAGGCGUGCAGUGAAUAAUUGCAUGAGUUGACGUUACCCAAAGAACAAGCACCGGCUAACUCUGUGCCAGCAGCCGCGGUAAUACAGAGGGUGCGAGCGUUAAUCGGAAUUACUGGGCGUAAAGGGCGCGUAGGCGGUUAUAUAAGUUAUGUGUGAAAGCUCUGGGCUUAACCUGGGAACUGCACAUAAUACUGUAGAGCUAGAGUAGAGUAGAGGAAAGUGGAAUUUCCGGUGUAGCGGUGAAAUGCGUAGAUAUCGGAAGGAACACCAGUGGCGAAGGCGGCUUUCUGGACUCAUACUGACGCUGAGGCGCGAAAGCGUGGGGAGCAAACAGGAUUAGAUACCCCGGUAGUCC